Pseudophryne corroboree (corroboree frog) is the source of this 685-nucleotide long non-coding RNA. RefSeq lists it as uncharacterized. The transcript has 3 exons. The record is from RefSeq and is a predicted model, not a curated record. NCBI's taxonomy places the organism in Eukaryota, Metazoa, Chordata, Amphibia, Anura, Myobatrachidae.
AGGUGUAUUUGGGGGGAAGCACUGUGUUUUGUGUGUGCUUGUUUUUAAGUGAGGUGUGUGUGUGUUUUUAAUGAAAGUUGUGCAUUCAAGUAAAAGGCAUGUGUGUGAGUGAUGUGUGUGUGUGUAAGUGAGAGACAUGUGUAUGUAAGUGAGAGGCAUGUAUGUGUGUGUAAGUGGGAGGCAUGUGUAUGUAAGAGAGACUUGUGUGUGUAAGUGAAAGAGACGUGUGUGUGUGUGUGUGUGUUUAAGUGAAUGAGGCGUUUGUGUGUUUUUUAUAUAUAUAUCUAGUGUUCACGCUAGGUGUCUGCACCUUUUUUUAGACAGAUGAAUCCCACCCUGCCCGUUUUUGUGCGCCCUACCAACCCGCCGUUUUCUGCCUGCCGUACCCCGCCACGCCGCCAGACCCAGCCGUGCGCCGCCGGACCCGAGCCUGUGCGGGACAGUGUGAUCUGCGCUGUGCUAUGGAUCUGGCGCAGACUGGCGGCGGAUUCAUACUGUGACUACGGCGUGUAUCAUGAAAGAGACAGCGCGCCAUGGAAGCUCAGAUACGAUGGGCGGCGGGAUGUCCAGCAUUUUGCGGCUGAAGUAACACAAUUCUAGGAAGCAUCAGAACCCAGGAACACAGAUGGGACAUUCCUGCUCCAGGCAGGAGGACACUCACCAGAGGACGAGGACGUACGCUGCA